RNAcentral lists this ribosomal RNA (503 nucleotides) under fungal sp. P8N12. RNAcentral's name for it is "eukaryotic LSU rRNA". The stretch from base 152 to 305 matches the Rfam family "5.8S ribosomal RNA". The record is from RNAcentral. Lineage: Eukaryota; Fungi.
UGCGGAGACAUUACCUAGAGUUGUAGGCUUUGCCUGCUAUCUCUUACCCAUGUCUUUUGAGUAUAAAGUUUCCUCGGCGGGUCCGCCCGCCGAUUGGACAAUUUAAACCAUUUGCAGUUGCAAUCAGCGUCUGAAAAAACUUAAUAGUUACAACUUUCAACAACGGAUCUCUUGGUUCUGGCAUCGAUGAAGAACGCAGCGAAAUGCGAUAAGUAGUGUGAAUUGCAGAAUUCAGUGAAUCAUCGAAUCUUUGAACGCACAUUGCGCCCCUUGGUAUUCCAUGGGGCAUGCCUGUUCGAGCGUCAUUUGUACCUUCAAGCUCUGCUUGGUGUUGGGUGUUUGUCUCGCCUCUGCGCGUAGACUCGCCUCAAAACAAUUGGCAGCCGGCGUAUUGAUUUCGGAGCGCAGUACAUCUCGCGCUUUGCACUCAUAACGACGACGUCCAAAAGUACAUUUUUACACUCUUGACCUCGGAUCAGGUAGGGAUACCCGCUGAACUUAAG